This 639-nucleotide ribosomal RNA is filed under the name uncultured Actinomycetes bacterium. RNAcentral describes it as "bacterial SSU rRNA". It matches the Rfam family "Bacterial small subunit ribosomal RNA", at positions 233 to 886 of the family's 1533-position model. The record is from RNAcentral. Lineage: Bacteria; Bacillati; Actinomycetota; Actinomycetes.
GCGGCCUAUCAGCUUGUUGGUGGGGUAACGGCCUACCAAGGCAACGACGGGUAGCUGGUUUGAGAGAACGAUCAGCCACACUGGGACUGAGACACGGCCCAGACUCCUACGGGAGGCAGCAGUGGGGAAUCUUGCGCAAUGGGCGAAAGCCUGACGCAGCAACGCCGCGUGCGGGAUGACGGCCUUCGUGGUUGUAAACCGCUUUCAGCAGGGACGAAAAUGACGGUACCUGCAGAAGAAGCUCCGGCUAACUACGUGCCAGCAGCCGCGGUAAUACGUAGGGGGCGAGCGUUGUCCGGAAUCAUUGGGCGUAAAGAGCUCGUAGGCGGUUCAGUAAGUCGGGUGUGAAAGCUCCGAGCUCAACUCGGAGAGGCCACCUGAUACUGCUGUGACUAGAGUCCAGUAGGGGAGUGUGGAACUCCUGGUGUAGCGGUGAAAUGCGCAGAUGUCAGGAAGAACACCAGCGGCGAAGGCGGCACUCUGGGCUGGUAUUGACGCGGAGGAGCGAAAGUGUGGGUAGCAAACAGGAUUAGAUACCCUGGUAGUCCACACCGUAAACGUUGGGCACUAGGUGUGGGGAGGAUCAACCCUUUCCGUGCCGUAGCUAACGCAUUAAGUGCCCCGCCUGGGGAGUACGGA